UACGUAGGGUGCGAGCGUUAAUCGGAAUUACUGGGCGUAAAGCGUGCGCAGGCGGUUCGUUGUGUCUGAUGUGAAAGCCCCGGGCUUAACCUGGGAAUGGCAUUGGAAACUGGCGAGCUGGAGUGUGGCAGAGGGGGGUGGAAUUUCGCGUGUAGCAGUGAAAUGCGUAGAGAUGCGGAGGAACACCGGUGGCGAAGGCAGCCCCCUGGGCCAACACUGACGCUCAGGCACGAAAGCGUGGGGAGCAAACGGG
RNAcentral lists this ribosomal RNA (253 nucleotides) under uncultured bacterium. RNAcentral describes it as "partial 16S ribosomal RNA". It matches the Rfam family "Bacterial small subunit ribosomal RNA", at positions 524 to 776 of the family's 1533-position model. The record is from RNAcentral.